This 288-nucleotide ribosomal RNA is filed under the name uncultured Lachnospiraceae bacterium. RNAcentral's name for it is "partial 16S ribosomal RNA". It matches the Rfam family "Bacterial small subunit ribosomal RNA", at positions 57 to 339 of the family's 1533-position model. Lineage: Bacteria; Bacillati; Bacillota; Clostridia; Lachnospirales; Lachnospiraceae. The record is from RNAcentral.
AAGCGAUUUGAAUGAAGUUUUCGGAUGGAUUUUAAAUUGGCUGAGUGGCGGACGGGUGAGUAACGCGUGGGUAACCUGCCCCAUACAGGGGGAUAACAGUUAGAAAUGACUGCUAAUACCGCAUAAGACCACAGCACCGCAUGGUGCAGGGGUAAAAACUCCGGUGGUAUGGGAUGGACCCGCGUCUGAUUAGCUUGUUGGCGGGGUAACGGCCCACCAAGGCGACGAUCAGUAGCCGACCUGAGAGGGUGACCGGCCACAUUGGGACUGAGACACGGCCCAAACUCC